This 387-nucleotide unclassified non-coding RNA is filed under the name soil metagenome. Its description in RNAcentral is "partial contains 5.8S ribosomal RNA, internal transcribed spacer 2, and large subunit ribosomal RNA". The stretch from base 1 to 120 matches the Rfam family "5.8S ribosomal RNA", at positions 35 to 154 of the family's 154-position model. The record is from RNAcentral.
GAUGAAGAACGCAGCGAAAUGCGAUAAGUAAUGUGAAUUGCAGAAUUCAGUGAAUCAUCGAAUCUUUGAACGCACCUUGCACCCUUUGGUAUUCCGAAGGGUAUGCUCGUUUGAGUGUCAUUGUACUCUCACACUUCUAAUUCCUUUCGGGAUUGGGAGCGGUGGACUUGGGUGUUGCUGCUUUAGUUGUGGCUCACCUCAAAUAAGUUAGUGCAACUCUUGGUUGGACAUAGUACGGCGUGAUAAGUGUCUUCGCCGGCGCCUCUGUAAGGAGGGUGGCCGAUCGGGAGCUCUGUGCUUCAAACCGUCUUCGGACAAUCUUUGACAACUUGACUUCAAAUCGAGUAGGACUACCCGCUGAACUUAAGCAUAUCAAUAAGCGGAGGA